GUAUAUCUCUAGUUUGUUAAAACAGUUUUUUUAAUUGUAAAUAAAAAAUUUCUACCAAUUAAGUACUCGGUUCCUAAUGUGGAACACUAAACAAAUUGUUAUUAUAAUGUGAAUUAAUUUAGAUAACUAUGACGGUACAUAGGUUGUAUUUUCAUUUGCGCAUAAUAAAUUAAAAAUGUAAUAUAAUAUACGCACGAAGUAGUAUAAGGAGAUCUCACUUCUCAUGAAAAGUGAUGACGAUUUUUCUUUUCUAUUCGAAGUCGUCUUAGUUAGCGUUCGCAACGCCUCUGUAGUGAAAAUGUUGCAAAUCAAAAAUCGUCUGCUAAAGUAUUUUGUGGAAAAAAUGUCAAGUGUUCUUUUUAUGACAAGAAUAAACAAAAGAGUGAAAAAAGAAGUUAAUGUUUAAUCAAAUAUAUAUUUAAAAAGACAUUUUUAUAAAAAGUGUGCUCUGUAUUCGAGUUCCGGAAUAUAUACUGUCAAGAUGUCAACAAAAGGAGCAGAGCUAAUCGAUUCAAAAACCACAAAAAGUUUUCUAAAACGACGAAAAAUAGAAAAUAAAAUUGGUCAAACUUUGGAUAAGGAUACAAAUGUCUGUACAUUUGAAGUUAUAAAAAAAAACAUUGAUUUAAUAAAGCUUCCUACAUCGACGUGGGCCUUUUCAAGAGGAAAUUCGUUAUUUUGUGGAUUCCAGAAAGCGGAAGAAAAUGGGA
Molecule: long non-coding RNA, 710 nt
Organism: Leptopilina boulardi
Lineage: Eukaryota; Metazoa; Arthropoda; Insecta; Hymenoptera; Figitidae
Exons: 2
Source: RefSeq, a predicted model, not a curated record